AUAUAUAGAGAGGGUCAGGGUGCUGUUCGCCCUUUUCCCCGGUAGACCCGUGUCCGUGUGUGAUGGGUUUGUUUUGGCUGCUGUUGUCCCGGGCUCGGAGGCCAUGUGCGAGUGUCCAAAGAUGGCGAUGCGUUAAACCGGUUCGGAUGUUAGAAUCGGGAUGAGUUGUGGCUCCAGCUUGCAAUCGUGAAAUUUGAAGACCUUCUUAUUUAAGUAGCCAGUAAAGGCAAGUUGGAGGUCUAAAGCAACACACAAUGCUGGAGGAACUCAGCAGGCCAGGGAGCACCUGUGGGAAAGAGUGAACAGUCUACGUUUCGGGCUGGGACCUUCAGGGCUGGAAAAGUUUGCACAUGAAGAAUUAACUUGGCUCAGCAGUGCUAUAACCAGUAGGAGGAAGUCAAACUGAAGAAGCAUUAGUUCUGAUCUAUUUUGAAAAUGGCGUAAUAAACGUUUUUCUGGAAUAACAUUCUGACCAUUGCAUUUCUGAACAUGUACAAAUGUUAAGCAGGUGUGAGCAUCUUGAUUCAAGUCUAUUAUUUGCUAUUGUGGCUGAUUUGCAUUUUCACCUGGUCUGGUAUACCUGCACCCAAAUCAAGAAAUUGUAUCUCUCUGCCUUAUUAUCGUUUAUUACCUUUACUUGCACUGCUCUUUGACCCUUAAGGAAUUUAACAUUCACACUGAGUACGCCUUCGUUUUUCAAGGGUGAACGUUGCACUGUAUUCUGAUGGUUUACUCAUGAUAAAUGGGCCUUGGUUAUAUUGUCCAGACUUGAGGGUGGUGGUGUGCUAUGUGGAUCAGUUUUAAUAUGGAUGAGGAUGUUAUAGACAGCAAAAGGUUAAAUGCUGAAGUUUCAGACUAAGGCUCUUAAUCAGAACUGGAAAGGAAGGGGCAAGAAUAAGGUGCGGAUGAUGUAAGAAGUUGGGGGUGUUAGGGGGAGUGCUAAAGGACUGAAGGAAACAAGUAGGAAAGGAAUGGACCUUAGAAGAUAAAAUAAAUUGCAACAAGAAAUGUAUACAUGCCUGUAUAUUGUAGUGUACAUGAUGGGUUUAUUGUACUUUAAUAAACCUGGUAGGGGAUGGGAAGAAGCUGUUCCUAAAACAGCUUUACACUCCUGUAUCUUGAUAGCAUUAAGAACUGUGUGUGUCCUGGGUAAUGGGGGUUUGUAAUAAAUGAUACUGCCUUUUUGAGGUGUUAGCUUUGGAAAAUACCCUCUAUGCUGAGGAGUCCAGUGCCCAUGAGUUGAACUCAGAAAGGCAACGUGGUUUGUGUAGGUGGAUUGGGCCUUAAGGCCAAUUUAUACUUGUGCGUCAAAUCUACGCUGUAGCCUGACACGCAGCUCCCCAAAAAUGUAACUAUGCGUUGCGGUGACACAGACCGCACAACUGUGAUUGGUCCGCUUGGUAGCAUCGCAUUUCCUCCUACACUGCAGUAGCUUCCCAUUGGGCGACUGAAGGGCAGGGAAGGAUCUCUGGCUGUAAUGCUUUCCAUAAAGCUGUACAGACCUCUGAAAUUAUGGAGGACCCUGUGCUUGACGCCAGGUUGUAGCUAGCUGCUACAGCCUGUUGACUUCUGCAGCUCCUAAGUGACCAUGUUAGGGAACUGGAGCUGCAGCUCGAUGACCUUUGUCUGGUCAGGGAGAGUGAGGAGUUACAGGCAGGUGGUCACACCGGGGCCACGGGAGGCAGACAAGUGGGUCACAGCUAGGAGGGGAAAGAGGAAGAGUCAUGUAAUAAGAGAGUACCCCAGUGGCUAUGCCCCUCUGUUAGGGGGGACAGCUUACCUGGGGGAAGCGACAGUGGCCGUGCCUCCGGCACAGAGUGCGACCCUGUAGCUCAGAAGGGUAGGGAAAGGAAGAGGAGGGCAGUUGUAAUAGGGGACUCGAUAGUAAGGUGGUCAGAUAGGUGAUCCUGUGGGUGCAGUCCAGAGACCUGGAUGGUAGUUUGCCUCCCUGGUGCCAGGGUCUGGGAUAUUUCUGAUUGCGUCCAAGAUAUCCUGAAGUGGGAGGGUGAGGAGCCAGAGGUCGUGGUACAUAUAGGUACCAAUGACAUAGGUAGGAAAAGGGAAGAGGUCCUGAAAGGAGAAUAUAGGGAGUUGAGAAAAAGGACUGCAAAGGUAGUAAUCUCGGGAUUACUGCCUGUGCUACACGACAGAGUAGGAAUGCAAAGAGGUGGAGGAUAAAUGCAUGGCUGAGGGAUUGGAGCAGGGGGCAGGGAUUUGAAUAACUACUUUGGUUCUGUCUUCGCUAAGGAGGACAUUAAUAUUCUUCUGGAAAUAAGGGACAGAGGGUCUAGUGAGAUGGAGGAACUGAGGGAAAUACAUGUUAGUAGGGAAUUGGUGUUAGGUAAAUUAGUAAGGAUUAAAGGCGGAUAAAUCCCCAGGGGCAGAUGGUCUGCAUGUCAGAGUGCUUAAGGAAGUAGCCCAAGAAAUAGUGGAUGCAUUAGUGAUAAUUUUGCAAAACUUUGUAGAUUCUGGACUAGUUGAGGAUUGGAGGGUGGCUAAUGUAACCCCGCUUUUUAAAAAAGGAGGGAGAGAGAAACCAGGGAAUUAUAGACCGCUUAGCCUGACAUCGGUGGUGGGGAAAAUGCUAGAGUCUGUUAUCAAAGAUGUGAUAACAGAGCUGAUUACUCAAAUUUGAAAGCAGCCUCUGCAAGCCAAAUUCCUCGGCCACUUAUGGGAAUGAACAGGCCCACCGUGAAUACUAAUGCACCACCACCUCAAGGUCCACCUGGAAGCCUGGGAAAUCAAAUGCCAGAAAGCAACAUUGCAUUGCCUAAUGAUUGAUUUGUUCCUGGAAAUAUGGAUGGUCAAGCAAAUAAGAUGGGUGGACCGAUGGUUGGGAUCCCGGCUGGGUUUCCCCAUGGAAAUCAAGUUGGAGAGUUUGGUGCAAAUAAACGCCGUAGAUACUAAAUACAGACCUGAAAAUAUCCAGUAGUCUUUAGCCAUUCCACUUAUUGCCUCAUUUUUUUGCAGAUUGUAUCAGUUGUAAUGAGCAUUAGUACAUAAGGUCUUUUUGGUAUUUUACUGUUUCAAAUAUUAUUUUAACUUCCUGUUGGAUAUAUUUAGUGAAUGUGCAUGAUAUGUUUCAGUAACCUAAAAUGUACAUAAUGUAAUGCACAAGUUGCAGAGAAUUUGGACAAAAAGUCUCUUGAGCUGUUACUAUUUUGAUAUUUGUUUAGCUACUCUAGUACCAUCUUCUAGAACGAUUUUGUCUUGUGAUUUUUGUUUUUUUAAGUGAUUUCAGACAGUAAAAUUGGAAUCUCAAAUGGCCUAUGUGUUUUUAUUUUGUAUUGCUGUAGGCUUUUUGUUAAUAUGCUUGGUAUUUUAAAUAUAGAUGGGUAUUGGGAUGAGGAAAUGUGGGCAAUAGGUGGGUUUGCAUUUGAGUUUGGUGGAAUGGGCUUAAAGCCUUUUUGACAUGAAAUAGAUAAGAAUUGAGGUUCAUUGAUAAUAUGCUGUGUUGGCCUUUUUAAGGAUAUUGUGUAUUCUGGUUUUGGUAGUUCAAAAGCUCAAUAUUUCUAACUACUGACAAUAUUUAACAGGAAUAACUUGUAUUUGUGGGAUGGGGGUAUUAGAAUUAAAAUUCAUCGGGUCUCUGGAACAUAUACCUGGCUUGCAGGAAAAUAAAUCAAAUAUAAACCCACCUUUUUGAACUUGAUACCCUCGAGCUUGUUCACGGAUGCUUGGUAUACGUUGCAGUACAGGCUUUAAGAUGUAAAUAAAGUUCUUGGCAAUAAUAAAAAAAAAUGUGAUAACAGCACAUUUGGAAAGCGGUGAAAUCAUCGGACAAAGUCAGCAUGGAUUUGUGAAAGGAAAAUCAUGUCUGAUGAAUCUCAGAGUUUUUUGAGGAUGUAACUGGUAGAGUGGAUGGGGGAGAACCAGUGGAUGUGGUACAUUUGGAUUUUCAAAAGGCUUUUGACACCCAAAGUCCCACACAGGAGAUUAGUGUGCAAGCACACGGUAUUGGGGGUAAGGUAUUGAUGUGGAUAGAGAAUUGGUUUGCAGACAGGAAGCAAAGAGUGGGAAUAAACGGGACCUAUUCAGAAUGGCAGGCAGUGACUAGUGGGGUACCGCAAGGCUCGGUGCUGGGACCCCAGUUGUUUACAAUAUAUAUUAAUGAGUUAGAUGGAAUUAAAUACAGCAUCUCCAAGUUUGCAGAUAACAUGAAGCUGGAUGGCAGUGUUGGCUGUGAGGAGGAUGCAGGGUGACUUGAAUAGGUUAGGUGAGUGGGCAAAUUCAUGGCAGAGGCAAUUUAAUGUGGAUAAAUGUGAAGUUAUCCACUUUGGUGGCAAAAACAGGAAAACAGAUUAUUAUCUGAAUGGUGGCCGAUUAGGAAAAGAGGAGGUGCAAUGGGACCUG
Long non-coding RNA from Mobula hypostoma (lesser devil ray), 4353 nucleotides. RefSeq lists it as uncharacterized. The record is from RefSeq and is a predicted model, not a curated record. The transcript is spliced from 4 exons. Lineage: Eukaryota; Metazoa; Chordata; Chondrichthyes; Myliobatiformes; Myliobatidae.